This 32-nucleotide small RNA is filed under the name Bombyx mori (domestic silkworm). RNAcentral's name for it is "ovarian small RNA-25147". Lineage: Eukaryota; Metazoa; Arthropoda; Insecta; Lepidoptera; Bombycidae. The record is from RNAcentral.
UCACCGCAUAAUUCCUGGAGAAAUCCAGGGUU